GGAAUUGUGGCUUAGUGGUAGAGUGCUUGCCUAGCAUGCAUGAAGCCCUGCGUUCGAUGCCUCAAUACCA
Molecule: transfer RNA, 70 nt
Filed under: Dipodomys ordii (Ord's kangaroo rat)
Lineage: Eukaryota; Metazoa; Chordata; Mammalia; Rodentia; Heteromyidae
Rfam family: tRNA
About the family: Transfer RNA (tRNA) molecules are approximately 80 nucleotides in length. Their secondary structure includes four short double-helical elements and three loops (D, anti-codon, and T loops).
Source: Rfam by way of RNAcentral